CUCUCCUCCAGAUUCAGAUGACAAGUCUCGGCGGAGCAGGUGCAACGGGGUAUUUUCUCCUUCCUUCAGACAUCAUUCCCUCGUAGAAGUCCUCUAAGUCUACCAUCCCCCUCCAAUACUUAAUACAAGAUGGACUUUGCAACACCAAGCAAGACGCCUCCUUAUCUUCUUAGAGACACCGUGGAAAAGAAAAGAGGCAGCGUUGAAGAAAAUAUCUGCAAUCACUGCUUACUUCAUCAACCUGAUCUGCCACAAGAGGGCAGAGGCUUAUGUCACUCAGCUUCAUCUACUGUCACAGGAGAAUGUCAGGGAUCUUUAAUGGGAAAAUUUAUCAUGUUUAAAUACCAGGGUGAAAAAUGAAAUUCCAUUAGCUAAUUUUAAAUGGCUUUAGGCCAAAAAGCCGAAUGCAUCAACAGAACUCUGUCAUCUCUGCUGCAAUGACUACAACUGCCAUAGCUUGUUUAUAAGUUGUUAAUUACUGUGCAUUAAUUAAUUACAAAAAAAAUAUUACCCAUACCCACACGUAUAGAAAAAUAUGUGGAUGAAGCAAGGCUUUGCUAGUCUGAAAAAUGUGUCAAGCCAAGAUACUGAAACCUUUGUGUGAUUGCUUUUGUAAUAAAUGGGUUGAUUUUGAAGUGGGGAAGUGUUAGAAAAACAAAACCAUUAUGCCAGUCCAAGAAUAGUUUAAAUUCUCUGUAUUUGCUGAGCAAAAAUGAAUGAACCUGCUACUAGGGCAUAAAUAGGUUUCCUUUUAGGACAGACAGCAAAAGAAACAAUGGACACAUGAUGCUCUGGCUUGUUGUCACUAAUGCACACUGCUGGCUUGGUGCUGAAUGGGUAGCAGAGAAACACAAAUCAAUAAAGUGUUGUAUUCUGCACUGGUACAAUGGUUUUGAUGGAAAAGUGAGGAAAUUAAAUAAUCCAGCUCAGUUGUUACACUGGGGUAAUUUACAUUGCAUACAGUGACUUCCACUGGCUUAACAUUUCUUAUAAAUUUUAAAGUUGAUCGAAUUGCAACUUAACAAUUUGUGGGCUUAGAUUCUGACAAAUCCCACUCCUGUUUCCUACUGCUCCGAACUGCUUAUAAUUACAUCCAUACUUUAAAAAAAAGUCCAUAUUUUAUCAGCUGAUUCAACUGCUGAAAUGAAACCUUCAAUACAACUCAUUGAUGCAUUUGUCAUUAACAGACACUGCCUAAAAAAGUGCAGGAAUUUCUUUUUCUUGCUAGUAUUGCAUCUGUAAUGCAAGAACAGUUCUUGCCCUUGUCAGGUUUUUUUCUUGAGUACCAGCUUAAUAAAAAGCUACAAUACAGAAGCAAGAGAGGAAAGGAUAAUGCUCUUUUCAAUUUUUAAGGCAUAUUUUAACAAAAUGCAGACUUCUGCAUAGUGAGACUGCUACCAUGCUCUUUGUUCAUGUGUUCUGAAAGAUACUGUUAGACACAAUCAGUGGGAGGAGAUACAGCAAAAAUCCCUGCACAUUUUCAAGCUCACAAAGCUGAUGGUGAUGAUUGUAAUUAUAAAGGACAGCGUGAAGUAGGUAGUUACAAAAUUCUGAUAAGAUAACUUGGCUAGCACAGCGGUCUGUCAAAAAUUAAAACCUAUCUAUUACAGGGGUAAAAAAGCACAACAGCCUUUUCUCCACCCUCAAGAAUUUUUGGAAAAAAGUAAAACAAACAAACAAAAACAACUCACUGCAGAAAAAAACCCACAUUUCUUCUCUAGGUAAAGAGAUUUCAUAUUCCAGAAUCUGAAAUAUAUUUAUUUUAAAAGAUUUUAGAUUGCAAAAUCCCAUUUUUUAAAUUCCCAUUUAAAACUGCUGGGGACUUAUAAGAAAUGGGGAUUUUUUUUUUUUAUGACUGGAAAACUAAAUAUAGCAUGUUCUCUGGGAAUCCAGGUAACCCACAGUCCCUGGUUCUCCCACAGUCCCAGGGUUCUGCAAUUUCCCAUGGGCUACCACAGACACAAUGAGGUUGGGAAACUACACAGCAUUUACCUGGUUUCACUAAAAAACUGAAAACAAUUAGUACAUUUCCACUUUUUCCUGACAAACUAAUACUCUCUGAUAGAAAUGUUCUGCUAGAAUUUUUCCAACAGGCCCUGUCUCUGUUAUAAAUGAACUUGUGACAGCACUAACACCAUUAAUGCAGCAGGGAACAAAAUCAAAGGACUGAUUCCAGCUUAUUCUUCUAAUUUUAGACCAAACCAUGGACAACUGUUACUACUACAUCAAUUGUGAUUAUCAAGUUCAUCUGACAUACUUCAAGCCCCUGUGAGAAUAAAAGAAUACUAGUAUACAAAAUUUGGUUUUUUCUGGUUUUUGUUUGUUUAUUUGUUGGUUUUGGUUUUUUAACAAAUGUA
Molecule: long non-coding RNA, 2357 nt
Organism: Catharus ustulatus (Swainson's thrush)
Lineage: Eukaryota; Metazoa; Chordata; Aves; Passeriformes; Turdidae
Exons: 3
Source: RefSeq, a predicted model, not a curated record